GUGUUGUCAUACAUAUGCUGUUAGUUCUGUCAUACAUAUGAGAUCACCCAAAUGGUAUGUAUAACAUAAAAACGGUGUAAAAUCCAAUCAAACACAAGUGAUUCGUACAAGCAUAAAGAAUUUUGGUGGCAGAGCAGAGGACAUCUGAAUUGGUAUGUAAGAAAAAUUAAAGCCGGUAAAUCAACUAGGCAUAAAAUGCGAGCAUACAUACAUUCAUUAUACAGAGUCUAAAAUUUCUCCUAAGCAAAUUACAUUGAAGGGAAAUCCCUGCAAAGUAACCUUAUUUAACAACAACUUAAACAAACAAAACAAGGAAAAUGAU
RNAcentral lists this long non-coding RNA (322 nucleotides) under Lathyrus oleraceus (garden pea). Its description in RNAcentral is "Pisum sativum (pea) long non-coding RNA (PSAT_LNC036837)". Lineage: Eukaryota; Viridiplantae; Streptophyta; Magnoliopsida; Fabales; Fabaceae. The record is from RNAcentral.